UCGCCUUCGCCAGCCGCCCCGAGGCCCGCAUACCAAACGCUCUCUUGUACGGUGGCGAUGUCGCCUUCUCACCCUACGGCGAGUACUGGAGACAGGUGAAAUAACCGUUAUUUUAUAAAAAUUUAAAUUAUUUUUAAAAUAAUAAUAUAUAAAAUUUAUCCUAACUAUAAAUUAUUUUGGCACAUAAUUUUUUAUUUUAUUUGAUUUAAACAAUGUAACCGUUCCUUAGAUAAAAAAUAUAUGUAAACUAAUUGUUUACUCUAAUAAAUAAAGAGUUACGUAAAAUAUAUUAAUUAAAUUUGUAAAUAUAAACCCCGAAUUCAAAUGAAGUUAAAAAGUCGCUAAUUAGCUUAAAGUAAAUAAAUUAAAAGGUCGGACAAUAAAAUUAAAAUUUUUUAAGAUUAGAUUGUCUGAUCAUUCAACAAUAGUGUGAAUUUCGCGCUAAAAUAAGUUUUAAUACUGUUAGAAUUUACUAAGGUCUUUUUUUGCAUAAAAAAAUGACCCAGUUUGCGUUUUUACAAAAUCAGACCAUUUUUUUCUUUUUUUUUAAUUAACGAGAAUAAAAAUAUUAUACUUUUUAAAUAUAUAUUGCACUAUUUAAUAAAUGCAAUAAAAACAUAUAUUUGAUUAUAUAUUAUACUAUUUUAUAAUAUAUUAUAUUAUUUUUAUCAUUUAUUACACUAACUGAGAAAGAAUAAAAUUUUUUUAAAAAAAAAAGAAGAAGAAGAGAGACAUUGACUUCUCCUUUCUCUUUCUUCUCCUUCCUCUCCUCCGUCCUCCAACUCCGGCGCCCUGCCGCCUGCUAUCUCGAACUGCACCGCUACCCACGCCCUUAUCUCUGCGAUCCAUGCCUCACUCGAGCCCUCGCCGUAGCCAUCGCCAUUGGCCACAGCAAAGAUGCAGGCAAGGUAAGAGGAGGAGUGCAACGACGACGACGUGCAGAUGGUGGAGGAGGGAAACGAGAAAAAAAGAAAAAAGAAAAAAAAGAUAAGAGAGAUCAGAGAAUAGAGAUAAUUUUGUUAGUUUCUCAAAAAUCCGAUCUUAAUUAAUAUGCAAAAUCAAUAAAUGCAGCCCGAUUUAUUCUUUUCAACUUUGAGCUGUCCGAUAACUGCAUGUGUUUUCAUAUUUCCAACUGCAGGUGCGGCGCAUCUGCGUCCUGCACCUGCUCAGCCUCAAGCGCGUGCAGUCCUUCCGCUACGUCAGACAAGAAGAGGCCGCGCUGCUGGUCGACAAGAUCCGCGCCGCUGCUGCCGUCGCCGCCUCCUCCGGAGCAGUCGACGUCAGCCUGCUCGUCGUCAAUCUCACAAACGACGUCAUCUGCCGGGUGGCGUUCGGUCGCAAGUACUCCGCCGAGGGCGGCGGCGCCGCGAAGAUCCAAGCGACGUUAGCGGAGUUGACGGCGCUGCUGGGGACGGUGGAGAUCGGAGAGUUCGUUCCCUGGUUAGGAUGGAUCGAUCGGCUGAGAGGGUUGGAUCGGAGGGUGAGGGAUAACUCGAGAGAAUGGGAUGCGAUGCUGGAGCGAGUGCUGGAGGAUCACUGCAGUGGGAACGAGGAAGGUGAUGACCUCGUCGACGUGUUGCUAUCUAUAAACGACAAGGAUGAGAACCUUGGCAUUGCUCUUACUCGGAGUAAUAUGAAAGCUCUUCUAUUGGUAAGCAAAUUAACUUCAUUUGGUUAAUUAAUUUGGCCUCUCAAAUGGUAAUUAAAAUGAUAAUAUAAUUAGUUGCGUAAAAUACCUGCUUUUCUCUAAACAUUGAAUUAGCCAGGUAGCUAUGUUUUUAAUAUUAGGGAUAAUUGCCUAGGUACCUUUAAAACUUCUCAAAUAUUUAUUUAUUUCUAUUUGUUUUCAAAUAUACCUUUAUAUAUUUUUUUCUUAUUCAAAAAUAUCGUUACUGUAUCAUCUCAGGUUAAACAUGAUAUUGUGGCUAAAAAAUAGCAAAAAUAUCUUGGUGAUAAUAAAAUAUUUCUUUUGCACUUAAAUUAAAGACAAAUAAGAAAAAUUGGUAACGAUAGAAAUAUAUAUUUAAAAUCACUACAACAGAAUUAGGUUAUAGGGAUACAUGUUUGGGACACUUUUGAGUAAGUGUCCUAUUUAUCCUAAAACUUAAAAAAAAUAUCUACUAAUGCCUAAAUAUAAAGCCCGAUACAACCAAAAAUAAAAGAUUACUCUACUCAACCCACCACACCCAGUCCAUUUGGCCCAAUUACAAACAGAAAAGAAAAAAAAAAAGAAAAAUUAAUUACCAUAUUUUUUUCUCUCUUCACUCAAUCCACUGAAAUUCUAAACGAAGAGUCUUUCCUGUUGUCCUCCUCCGCCACCGCAGCCAACGAGAUAGAGUUUCGGCGGUUGCUAAAUGCUUAAAUAAGUGUUGAUAAAUUAGCAGCACUCUUUUAGAUUAUAGCAACACUCUUUAACUGUCACUAUAUACCUAGCGACCCCACAUAUAGCAACACUUUUUAAAAGUGUCGGUAAUUUUAGCGAGCAGCACUUUUUUGACAUGUACCUACAUUUAAAAGUGUCGCUAUAGACCGUUUUUGUUGUAGUGAAUGGUAAAAUGGGAAUUUUAUAGAAAUAAGGAUUAUUCCCAUGGGAUUGCGUGCGGUGAAAAAGUACGAUGGGAAAAUAUUCUAAUUGUUUUCGUACAUAAUAUUACGUUUCGUAUAUUGUGAUGGGUCGGUUAUGAUAUAUUUUCUGCGGUCCCAUAAAAGAACGCAGAAGUAUAUUUCUAUAUAUUUUUAUUUUUUUCCUGCUUCAGAUAGACCUCAAUACCAAACUAAACCUAACAUAAUUUAACUGUAGAAAUAUAUUUGAAAGACUUUGAAAUUUUGAAAGAAUAUUUUUAAUAUUAGCCAUUUAAGAGAGUUAAAUAAAAAAGUUAGAAACUUUUUAUGAAGCACUUACCCCUUAAUAUUUUAUAUUUAUAUUUAAUAUUCUUUGUAAUUUUAAACUUGGAUUCUUCUGCUUUGAUAUUAUAUAAAAUUAUUUCUUUUCUCUAAUAAUUUUUUUUCUUUCCAUAAAGAAAAUAGGAGAGAAAAGAAAAGUAAAAAAAAUAAAAUAAAAAUUUUCUCUCAUGUUCUUUGGAUUAAGAGAAAAGAAGAGGAAAAUUUUUCUAUCAAUCCUUUUUGAGAGAGAAUAGAAAUAUGCCGUGAUUGAAGGUAAUAUUUUGUCAAUUUCUCUUUAUUUUUCGUAUUUUCACUUAUCGACUUUCGUUCCAAAUAACACAAAAUAAUUUUCUGUUUUAUUUUUCUUUUCUAGUCUCCUUUCGCUCCAUUCAAAUAGAGUGAGCUUAAAUUUUCAGUUCAAAAUCAAUAUUUUUAAAUAUCUAAUAUUCUACUAGUUGUGCUUUUAUUGUACUUUCUGAUAGUUGAAUCUCAAGCAUUUUUUUUGUCUUUAUGCUUGUAGGACAUGUUUGCAGCUGGCACAGAAACCACAUUCACAACAAUAGAUUGGGUAAUGGCGGAGCUGAUCAAGCACCCAAAAGUAAUGGAAAGAGCACAGGAGGAGAUAAGACGAGUAGUCGGAUCGAGUCCGAAGGUCGAAGAGGAGCUCUUAGAAGGAAUGUACUAUCUCAAGAAUGUGAUCAAGGAGACCCUGAGGCUACACGCUCCAGCACCGUUACUUGUGCCGCGAGAGACGAUUGAAGAUACUCAACUAGAGGGCUUCAACAUUCCCGCCAAGACAAGGGUUAUAAUCAACGCUUGGGCUAUCGGAAGGGACCCUAAGUUGUGGGAGAGGGCGGAGGAGUUUUGGCCCGAGAGGUUUACGAACAGCCCUAUUGAUUUCAGAGGACAGUACUUCGAAUUCAUACCGUUUGGUUCGGGAAGGAGAGGUUGUCCGGGGAUCAAUUUCGCUGUAUCCGUCGUCGAGUUAGUUCUUGCGAAUUUGUUGUACCAUUUCGACUGGGAGUUGCCUCAUGGUAUGAAAACGGAGUUAUUGGACAUGAGUGAGUCGAGCGGAUUGACAGUGCAUAGGAAGCAAAAUCUUAUUCUUGUGCCAAAACUACGAAAAUUUUAAGUUGUUUUAAUGUGUAGCUAAACUCAUCCCCUUCGAUAUUUUCAAAGAAAAAAAAAAAAUCGUAAGGCACUUUUAAGCUAACUUGUUUGUACUAUAAAAUAACAGUAGUAAUCGUCAUGGGAGAAGCGUUAGAUUGAUGCUUCUUCACUGAUGGUUUGGACUAACAUUCUAUAGUAUUGAAUCAAGAGGGGAGCUACUAAGCAUUUCCAGAGUCCGGACUUCCCAAAUUCCCUCAAUAUUUAAGGGGCUGUUUAUGACCAUCACAUUUCCAUAUUAGGCCUUGAUCGGUUCGUGCGUAAAACGAGAGAUGCAAAAAUAGAAGAAGUGAAUCCUUUUUGGAAUUUUUGCGAGAGAGAGAAAAAUGAAUGAACAGAUUGUUUUUAAGAUGGGCUUUUUUUGCAAAUGGCCUUCUAAAAAAAUUGUAUUUUAAAAUUAGUCCCAACAAAUUUAUAAUUAUAAAAAUGACCAUACUCCUGCCACGCAGGCGCUACGCAAGCGCCACGUAGGCGGGCUGGAGGUUGGUUGGCAAGUUGAAUGAGAUGAAUCAUUCAUCGUGUUCAAACACGGUGAAUGAUUCACCGUGUUUCAUGUUUAUAUUCCUUUUCUUCUCUUUUAGGGAUAUCAACAGGUCAGGUUUGGAUCGGGUUUUCAAAAAUCUGAAACCGAAUCCGAAAAUCAAAUUAAAACCUGAACCCGAAUCCGAACUUGGCGGAUUUUAAAAAUCCAUAUCCAUAUCCAUAUAUUAAAGUUAUAUGGGUAUGGAUUUUUAAAAUUCGUUGGGUUCGGAUUCGUAUUCGGAUUUUAAUUUGAUUUUCGGAUUCGAGUUCGGGUUUUUAAAAACCCGCUCCAAACCCGACCCGUUGACAUCUCUAAAAGAAGAAAAGGAAUAUAAAUAUAAAACACGGUGAGUCAUUCAUCGUGUUCAACUUGCCAUCCAAGCUGGGCCCACGGGGCGCUUGCGUGGUACCUGCGUGGCAGGAGAAGGACCAUUUUUGCAAAUUAAAAUUUGAUGGGACUAUUUUUUUAAAAAAAAAUUGUCGGGGGCUAAAUGCAAAAAAUACCCUUUUAAGAUUGAUUGUUUAUCUAUUAACUUACACUUUUGAAUUAGGGAAGAUUGCUUGUAUAUUUCUAAAAAAAUUUCUGAGUUUUUUUAUUUACCCAUUUUAAAAAAAUAAUAUAAAAAUUAAUUUUUAAACAUUCCAAAUUAUUUUAAAUAUACUAGAUUUAAAUUCUACUAUUAGUGAAAUAUUAGGAAUAUUCGUUAUCUUUGUAAAAUUAUUAUUUUGUCCUUUUUAAUAUUUUUUUCUACCAUUAUCAAUUUUUCUUUUUUAUCUUUAAAUUAUGGGCAAAAAAAUAUUUUAAAUUUUUGCCUUUUCAAAUAUAACCUUUUACCGUCAUCAAUUUUUCUUAUUUGUUCUUAAGUUACAGAUAAAAAAUAUAUUUUUUGAUUUAUUUUUAACACAUGUAGAAAUUUAAUCCGGAUUUAACUCCAGAUAAUUCAACUGGUAUUAACAAUGGGUUAUUUUAGCACAUGUACAAUUAUACAUUUGUAAGCUGUUGUCUUAUUUCGUGUUGCACCUUCACUGAGGAGUUUCUUAAUAAGUUCUUAUUGGGAUAGCUUGGUUUUAAAUAUCUAUUCCAAUUUAAAGUUCUUUCAUUGGAAUAUCAACACUGUAUUGAAUAGUGGAUUUAGAGGAGCCCAACAAGGUUGAAUGAGGAGCUUCUCAUUUUAAAUUUUUUCCGUUAUGAUAAGUGUGAGAAAGAGUGAAGUGAUAUUCAUCGUUUUUAUUUAAUUGGUUCGCUGUAAAUUAAGUUUAUUGAUAACAAAAUUAAUCUCAUACCAAAAAAAUUAAAAAUUAAUAAAAAUACACGUGUAAUUUUGUUUUCAAACUUUUGUAUGUUAAUGUAAAUAAUAUUUUUUGGUCAAGCAAAUAGAAAAAUGAAAAACCUUUAGCUCUAAAGCCAUUAACUUUUCAUGAAAUAAAUAAUAGUAUUGAUGCCAAAAUUAAAACUAACAUGCCGACCUAACCCACGUACGUAUGAGUCAAUAAGAACACGUGAUACAUCAGGAGUCGGCAAUAAGAUGCCCGAAGGUUUUAGACGGGAAUGGUUGAGAAGUGGGGCAUAAGAAGUGAGCGUAACUUUCACGGUAGGGCGUAACUUUCAUGAGUAGUGGGCAUAACUUUUACGAUCAUGGUUAUAACUAUUCCCCCCACCACUUUCAACCAACCAAUAAUGUGGGUUGAUAUUACUAUAAAUAGUAAUUUCGAAAUCUGCAAUAAGGGUCUUUCUCUCCCCUGAACGAGAAGACCACCGCAUUUUCAUAUUUUUUCUUUUCUGCAUUUACUGCUUUCCUAUGAGUAGUUUUUAAGAUAGAUUUUUAGAGUCUGUAUGCCCCACGGGCACACUCUGUUAUAAACUAUAUUUUCAGAGUCUGUAUGUCCUUUGGGUACACUCUGUUUUAUUAAUAUAUAAAGGUAUUCGGCUCUUUCAGCCGACUACACUUUGUAUUUUCAUCCAUUCGGCUCUUCAGCCGACCCUAGUUUCUGUGCAUUCUAUACAUUCGGCUCAUCCAGCCGAACCGAUUCUAUAGAAGAGAUUUCGAAUCCGGCUGAUCCGAUCCCUCAUCAGCCGAAUCGUUUGAACAAUCGAAGGGCGCAAACUUCGAGGGUCAUUAUCCGAAGCCGUUUUUACCCCGACAUGCUCCCUGAGGAGGACCUUUGACCACGUCGAGGGUCGGAAAAAAUUCGGCUACCAACAAAUAGUAAAAAAUAUCGUGAAUUUUAGCUUAAUAAAAGUAUUAAAGAUAUCAAAAAUAAUAUUUAUCUAAACUGUAGUUCAACUGCAUGCUAAUUUGAAAAUAAUUUAAAAACAAGGGGUAAAGCUGGGUUCAUGUAUUUCUUAGACCGGUUUCACGUGUAAUCUCCUGGACCGGGUUUAGCUCUUUUUAAACGAGGUUUCCGAGGAGGACAAAGCUGUUCUUAACUUUUUCUUAUGUGCUUCUAGACCGGUUCCACGCGCCAUUCCCUCGACUAGGCUUAGCUUCUUUUCGUAUCAAGUUUAAUUUGAUUGGCUCAGUCUAUUGGACCUGGUCUAGGAAUAGUUUGCUCUUUUGAGUAAAAUAUCAAGCAUCGUAUAGUAGCGUACUAGUUACGGAACCCGCGCGUUGGACGCUUGAUUACGUUUGAAUACGACUAUUUUUUUAUUUAAAUAUUUCAAAUUGCCCACGUAUAUGGUUUCCCUCAUUUUUAUUUUAUCAUUUUAUUAUAAAAAUUUUACUUUAUAUUUUGUAAUUUAAAUACUGUUUUAUGAAAAUAAUUUUGUAUGAAAUAGGAUCGUAAAGUAAAAAAAAAAAAAAAAAAAAAAAAAAGAGUGGCAAAAUAAAGAAUACGUUAAACUACAGAAGAGAAAAAUGUAAUUUUUUUGAACCACAGAUGCUAAUGUGAAAAUAAGCUAAAUUGAAAGGGAAUAAAGUAAAAUUUUUUGAAUCAGGGAUUAAAAAGUGAAAAUCAGCCAAACAUCGAUGGGACAAUUUGAAGUUUAUUUUUUUAAAAUUAAUGAGCAAUGCUAAGGCUGCGACUCAUUUUGAAUUGUAAUAUGUGACCGCCCCUUUCAUUCAAGAUCCUUUUUCUUUUUUUUUUCUCUACUCAUCAUAUUAUUUUUUAUUUUAAAAUUCAAAAGGGAUUAGCAGAUAUUACAACCCUUUUGGGCUAUGGGUAGUCGACUUAGCAUUAAUUUCUCUAAAUUAACAGGGUCCCACAGGAUCUCCUUAAUAUUGAUAAUAAUAUUUUUUUUUUUUCCUUUGAUUUUUAUAAUAGUUUUUCUUUCUAAAGAGUUUUAUUCUUUUUUAAUAGCACUUCAUAGAUCUUGAACAAGUGUUAGUAUGUUUAGUUAUAGAGAAAAAUGAAUGGACAAAGAUCGAUUGUUUACCUAUCGCUUUUGAAUUCAAUAAGUAUAUGUUGAUAUUUAUGUUAGCAUCCUAUCGAAGCUCCGUGUCAAAAUUCGAUCUGACUCUCACCCGUAUAGGCUGUUAUCGUUGCCCCACAAAUAAUAUCUCCUCUUCCACAGUUUGUGUCCACAAAUCACAAGUGGUAGUGUAGAUUAAUAUCCCCUCAUUCACCUUACAACUCCACAAGCUAAAGCCACAAACGGAAAUAAUCAUGCCUCCACUAACUCAGCUCUUCCAGUUACUGCUCCACCAAAACUCAAUGCACGUCGCCUCCUUUUUCCUCUCAAUCUUAAUCAUCACCUUCUCCGUUUUCUCGUGGAAUCGUAAAAAAGCCGCUGCGGCAGCUUCAGAGAAGAAUUUUAAACAGAUUCCGUCGCCGCUGAGGCUUCCGCUCAUCGGCAACCUGCACCAGCUGGGCAAGCUCCCACACCGCUCCCUCCGCGCGCUCGCUGGGAAGCACGGGCCCGUCAUGCUCCUCCGCCUGGGCCGCGUUCCCACCGUCGUCGUCUCCUCGGCCCCGGCGGCCCAGCAGGUCAUGAAGGCCAAAGACCUCACCUUCGCCAGCCGCCCCCCGGCCCGCAUAUCAAACGCUCUCUUGUACAGCAGCGACAUCGCCGUCUCACCCUACGGCGAGUACUGGAGGAAGGUGAUACCGUUGUUCUAUGAAAGUUUGAAUUAUUUUUAAAGUAAUAAUAUAUAAAAUUUAUCGGAACUAUAAAUCAUUUUGGUACACAACUUUUUAUUAAUUUUAUUUGAUUUAAAUAAUAUAAUGGUUCUUUAGAUGAAAAAAUAUUUGUAAGCUAAUUAUUUGCUUUAAUAAAUAAAUAGUUUUAUAAAUAAAUAGUCACGUAAAUUAUAUAAAAUAUAUUAACUAAAUCUGUAAAUAUAAAUGCCGAAUUCAAAUGAAAUAAAUUAAAAGAUUGGACAGUAAAAUCAAAAUUUUAAGAUUAAAUUUUCGGAUCAUUCACCAAAGGUGCGAAUAUUCGCUCUAAAAUAAUUUUACUACUAUUAGAAUUUACUAAGGCCUUUUUUAUAUAAAAAAUUUGCUGAUUUUGCGUUUUUAUAAAAUUUGCCGAUUUUUUCAAUUUUGGAGAGUUGGGUCGGAAUUUUAGAAAUCUGACCAAAUUGUCCCUCUCUUCUAACUCCUUCCUCUUUCUGGUCUAUCUUUCUUCUUGGUCGUAAUGCCAUCUUCCCCGAUGCCGUCGACAAUUCUUUCCUCUGCUUCCUCAUUCUCUACAGCAAUCCACCUCUUUCUCUCGGACCUCUUCCUUCCUUUUCUUCUAUUUUCUUUUUAUUAAUUAAAAGGAAUAAAAAUAUUAUAUUUUUUAAAUAUAUAUUACACUUUUUGAUAAAUGCAAUGGACCGUCUAUUUAAUUAUAUGUUGUACUAUUUUAUAGUAUAUUAUAUAUAUUUACGAUUUGUUAUAUUAAUUAAUCAAUGUAUAUUUUAUUCUCUCUAACGAAAAAAGAAUAAAAAAUGAAACAAGAAGAAAAAAGAUAUUGACGUCUCUUUUCGCUUCCUUCUCCUCCUUCCUCUCCCUCUCUCCUCCACCUUCGAUACCCUGCCGCCGCUAUCGCCAACUGCACUGUCACGCUCCGAAUUGCACGUUUUUCCGGGCAUGCCAACAGACCCGCCGUAUACAUAGGAAUUACCCCUAUAUACGAAGCGAUAGCUAUACCUAUAAACAAAACUAAGCUACAAUCUCAAGUAUAGAGCUGCUAAGCAAAACUAAUAUAUAUAAAACAACAUGACCAAGCACAUACAAAAGCUACGAACCAGCACCUAACAUCUCGCUCCAGCGAGUAACUAAACAAAGAGUAUGUACAUGUACAACACUCAUAACUACCUCUGAAGGGGUACUCCGCUAGCAUGGCGACUGAGACUGGUAGGGAUUUAGCUCGCAACUCCCUUACCACGAUCAGUAUCAACAACAGCAGCAACCGCAGACGAAAGCUCUGUAAAAGGGGCCAACAACUGGGUGUGAGAAUUACUGCAAAAAGAAGUAGAUCUCAGUGGGUAUUGCUACCGAUCUCAACGGCUCACCCACUAAGUCUACAGAAAAUAUGCUCAAUGAUAGUAAAGAAAGCUGGAAAAACUCUACAGCUAUAUGCCACUAUACUAUCGCUAACCAACACUAGCUAUCUGUAUAUAUAUAUAUGCAAGAUGCAAUUUCUGACCCAAUCUCACUGAGGACUGUGAACACACCCGUCCUGCCUGUCGAAGCUACACCAACCACCACCACACUAGGUUGUUGGUGGAGAGCAAGUCCAACCAGGACACUACAACAAUAACGCAAAAGCAUUAAGCCCGACUCCGGAGUGACACUCGUGGGCACUGCCCAACCGAGUAUGCAAGCGUAUCUCUGCCGAGCUCAAUCAGGCUCUCACAGAUUAUAAUCAAAACAAAUGGGUCUAACUGGUUUACAACCAAAACUCACGUGCCCUUGGCAUAAUCUGAUACAAAUACAGAAAUCUGGGUCCACUGUCAACCGCGACGGCACCCAACAGUCCAAAACAGUCUACACAUUACUAUAAAAUAAGUUCGGCAUCCCAGCACGAGCGUAAACUUAUCCUACACUAAUUUGAGUAUCCAUCGCAUACUAACAGCGAUGAUACAAUAGAACCACAGCUCCUAAAGCUAAAUAUGAUAAUUUUUAGAAAUGAUAGUGUAGGUUCUAAAUGUUUUCUCCUAAGUCAAUUCCAAGUCCAACAUGUAAAAUUAAACUACUAACUUAACUCCAAAUUCAGAUAUAAACACUAAUCCAUGAAUUCGAGUACUAGCAAGAAAAAUAGACGGAUGAUACAUGUCGACAAAUACUAAAAGUUAGAAUAUAUUCCCACGAUUUCGGUAAACUUCAACCCACCUUAAAAUGCUUAUCCAACAACGGCUAUCCAGCUAGAGUACCGAUACCAGCCCGAUGCUGUACCGGUACUUAGCAUCAAUUAUCACAACCCGAGAGCAGUAGUUCGAAAAUUACACUGGGGUACCGGUACUCCCCUGUGUGGUAUCGGUACUCAAUACUGAAAACCCUCACUUUGCAUAUUUCAAUGUCAAAAUUUUGUUCUCGCGUCGUGCUGAGUCCAUUUUGCGUCCACUUCGUGCCAAAACGAUUCGGAUUUGUCCCGACACUCUUCAGAUAUGUCGACAAAUCUCAGAUGCUGAAAUCUCACGGCAACUAAACACCUGUGUUACUACAUGCACUGCCACCAACGCCCAAAUCUCUACAAUCCAUGCGUUGACCGAGUCGUCACCGCCGCCAUCAGCAAUAGCAGAGAUGUAGGCGAGGUAGGAGGAGAGCAACAACGACGAGCAGGUGGUGGAGGGAGAGGAGGAAAAAAAAAAAAAGAAAAGAAAGAAGAGAGAGAUAGAGAGAGGAAUAUGGAUAUUUUUGUUUAUUUUUUAAAAAUUCGGCCCAAAAUCAAAACAUGCAGUAGCCCUAUUUUGCAAAAAUGCAAAAUUAGUGAAAUUUUUGUGCAAAAAGCCAUACACUUAAAUAAACUGGAUAUUUUAUAAAAUUAUUAAAAUAAUUAUUUUAUAAAACUACUUUUUAUCAUCAUCGAAAUUAAAAGUGCAAAAUAUACGAGACUUCAUAAAUUAAAUUAUAUUAGGUUCCGUGUUUGGUGACGGAGAGAAUGUAUAAUUAUGUAUAAUCAGAAAGCAUAAUAAAAAAAAUUAUUUCCUUUCUUUUUAUUAAAGAUAGUAUGCUAUGUAUAAAUAAUAAUUUACUUACGAUGUAACUUUUACGAUCUUACAAAAAAACAGAAAAUUAUAUUUUACUCCCAAUAUUGGAGAGGCUUAGAGACUAUCCAAAUAUUUUACUCUAAUCAAGCAAUCUUUAAUAUAUACUUUCUAUGCAACACAUCUUCUCUAGCUUAGUGUCACGGACAAAAUGUUUCCUGUUGACUUCUCCUUGACAGUGGCCCAAAUCUGCUAGCGAAACGGGUUGAAAAUGGGUUGAAUCGGGUUGUCAAAGAGACCCAAACCCAAUCCGCUAUGGAGAGAUGAAGGGUUUUGUAACCUCUCCCAUUAAUGAUGAAAACUCAAGGGUUAUGAAACUCUCAUGAGUUAUGGGGUGAUUUUUGAGCUUAUGACUCAUUAUGAGGGUGAGUUAAUGUGUCUCAUAAUGAGAGAGUUAGCGUGUGUCUAGGUUCAUUGUAUUUAGAAGCUUAUAAGUAGUGGGGUUUUGUUAAGGCCAAAACAUACAAGAGGAAGUGUGUAUGUGAGUUGUAAUUCUCAUUUUCUAAGUAGUGUAGUACUUAGUUUUUUGAGAGAAUCUCUGCUUCUUUCUCUUUGUCAUUCUAUUUGUAUAUUUAGUCGUAGGACGCGAAGAUUCGGACUAGCAACAGGGACGAAGGCUUGCCCAUUUUCGAGUAGGAAGGCGGGCGCCGCACGGACUUUGCGAACAGAACCGUUAAGGCCGUGACAGUAGGCUCCUGAGUUUUCAAUUAGGGUCCUUUUUGUUCAACGAAAACCGUGAAAAAUAAAAUUCGAUGGAAAAAAUUUUUAUAUAUUGUCGUGUUUAGUUUGUAAGAAAAAUAAAAUAGUUUUCAUCAACAGUCAUUUGAUUGAAGGAAAAAAAAAAUCACAUUAUUUUAGCUCAGUAGAAAAAAAAAAUAAAUGAAAAAAAUUUUAUGCAGCUUAAGUUUUCGCUUUCCAUCGAGAAACAGCGAAAAAUCAAAACUUUAAUUUUUUUUCUCAAUCUAUUUUAUGUUGAACCAAAUAAUCAAAAAAGACAUUUGUCAUGUAGAAAAUAAUAUUUCAAUUUGUUUUACGCAGAAUCAAGUGUCCCCUUAGGUUAAAGACAUGAGAUUGAAUUACUUCUUUUCAACUUUGAGCUAUAGAUAACUGCAUGUGUUUUCAUAUUUCCAACUGCAGGUGCCGCGCAUCUGCGUCCUGCACCUGCUCAGCCUCAAGCGCGUGCAGUCCUUCCGCUACGUCAGAGAAGAAGAGGCCGCGCUGCUGGUCGACAAGAUCCGCGCCACUGUCGCUGCCGCCGCCACCACCUCCAGCACAGUCGACGUCAGCCAGCUCGUCGUCAAUCUCACAAACGACGUCACCUGCCGGGUGGCGUUCGGUCGCAAGUACUCGGCGGAGGGCGGCGGCGCCGCGAAGAUCCAAGCGACGUUAGCGGAGUUCGCGGCGCUGCUGGGGACGGUGGAGAUCGGAGAGUUCGUUCCCUGGUUAGGAUGGAUCGAUCGGCUGAGAGGAUUGGAUCGGAGGGUGAGGAAUAACUCGAGAGAAUUGGAUGCGAUGCUGGAGCGAGUGUUGGAGGAUCACUGCAGUGGGAACGAGGAAGGUGAUGAUCUCGUCGACGUGUUGCUGUCUAUAAACGACAAGGAUGAGAACGUUGGGAUUGCUCUUACUCGGAGUAAUAUAAAAGCUCUUCUAUUGGUAAGCAAAUUAACUUCAUUUGGUUAAUUUCGCCUUUCAAAUGAUAAUUAAAAUGCUAAUAUUGCGUAGAAUAUCUGCUUUUCUCUAAACACUGAAUUAGCCAGAGAGCUAUGCUUUUAAUAUUAGGGAUAAUUGCCUAGGUACCUUUAAAACUUCUCAAAUAUUUAUUUAUUUCUAUUUGUUUUCAAAUAUACCUUUAUAUAUUUUUUCGUUAUUCAAAAAUAUCAUUGAUGUUAGUGCCAAUAAGUCACCUCGGAUUAAACAUGAGUACCAUAGUUAAAAAAAACAGUGAAAUUUUUUUUGAUGAUGGUAGAAGAAUAUAUUCUGUACAUUUUUCUUUAUUUUUCUCAUUUUUACUGGUCAAGUUUCGAUCCAAAUAACACAAAAUAAUUUUCUGUUUAAUUUUCUUUUCUAGUCUCCUUUAGCUCCGUUCAAAUGGAGCGUAAAAGUAUAAAGUUUUAGUGUAAUUAAAAUCAAUAUUUUUAAACAUCUAAUGUUCAACUAGUUGUGCUUUUGUUGUACUUUCUGAUAGUUGAAUCUCAAGCAUUUCUUGUCUCUAUGCUUGCAGGACAUGUUUGCAGCCGGCACAGACACCUCAUUCACAACAAUAGAUUGGAUAAUGGCGGAGCUGAUCAAGCACCCAAAAAUAAUGGAAAGAGCGCAGGAGGAGGUAAGACGGGUAGUCGGAUCGAGUCCGAAUGUCGAAGAGGAGCUCUUAGAAGGAAUGUACUAUCUCAAGGAUGUGGUCAAGGAGACGCUAAGGCUACACGCUCCAAUACCGUUACUUGUGCCACGAGAGACGAUUGAAGAUACUCAACUGGAGGGUUUCGACAUUCCUGCCAAAACAAGGGUUAUAAUCAAUGCUUGGGCUAUCGGAAGGGAUCCUAAGUUGUGGGAGAGAGCUGAGGAGUUUUGGCCCGAGAGGUUUACUAACAGCCCUAUCGAUUUCAGAGGACAGUACUUUGAAUUCAUACCGUUUGGUUCGGGAAGGAGAGGUUGUCCCGGGAUCAAUUUUGCUAUGUCCGUCAUCGAGCUAGUUCUUGCGAAUUUGUUGUACCAUUUCGACUGGGAGUUGCCUCAUGGUAUGAAAAGGUAGUUAUUGGACAUGAGUGAGUCGAGCGGAUUGACAGCGCAUAGGAAGCAAAAUCUUAUUCUUGUGCCAAAACUACGAAAAUUUUAAGUUGUUUUAACGUGUAGCUAAACUCAUCCCCUUCGAUAUUUUCAAAAAAAAUUCUUAAGGCACUUUUAAGCUAACUUGUUUGUACUGUGAAAUAACAAUAGUAAUCGUCAUCAGAGAAGCAUUAGAUUGAUGCUUCUUCACUGAUGGUUUGGACUAACAUUCUAUAGUAUUGAUUCAAGAGAGGAGCUCCUAAGCAUUUCCAGAGCCCGGACUUCCCGAAUUUCCUCAAUAUUUAAGGGGCUGUUUAUGACCAUCAUAUUUCCAUAUUAGGCCUUGAUCGGUUCGUGUGUAAAAUGAGAGAUGCAAAAAUAGAAGAAGUGAAUCCUCUUUGGGAUUUUUGUGAGAGAGAAAUAUGAAUGGACAGGUUGUUUUUAAGAUUGAUUGUUUACCUAUUAAAUUACACUUUUGAAUUAGGUAGGAUUAUUUAUAUAUUUCUGAAAAUUUUUUGAAUUUCUUAUUUAUCCAUCUUAAAAGAAUAAUAUUGAAAACAUUUUGUUAACAUUUCAAAUUAUUUUAAAUAUGCUCCUAGAGUUAAAUUCUAUUAUUAGUGAAAUAUUAGGAUUAUUUGUUAUCUCUAAAAUUAUUAUUCGCCCUUUUAAAUAUAUUCUUCUAUUGUUUUCAAUUUUUUCUUAUUUAUCUUUAAGUUAUGAACAAAUGAAAUAUUUUAAUUUUUUACCUUUUCAAAUAUACUCUUAUACCGUCAGCAACUUUUUUAAUUUGCUCUUAAGUUAAGGGUGAAAAACAUAUUUUAACUUAUUUUUAGCUCAUGUAGAAAUUUAAUUCAGAUUUAACUCGAGAUAAUUUAAUGGAUAUUAACAAUGGAUUAUUUUUAAAUAACGGAGAAAUAUACGAGCGUUGUAUUUAAAAUAAAAAAAAAGAUAAAACUGUAUAAGAUAUUUCAAAAAUUCUGAGAGCAAUAUUAGAUUUUAUCCCUUGAAUUAAAUGAGCUAUAGUGUGUUGAUAAAUAUAUCAUGUCCUGAGCUUAAGGCUAUGUUUGUUUGGAUGGAAGUGGGGUGAAAAUGGAGAGAAGGGAAGUCGUUUUCGUGUUAAACGACCACUUCCGUUGUUUGGCUCGCCAUAAAAAAAUUACGGUCGAAAUUCGAGUUAACCUCAAACAGCAUAAUUGACUUCUCCCCAUCGUGGGUCGAAGUCAAUUACGGUGAAGAGAGGUAAAAAUAAAAUAAAAUAAAAUAAUAUAAUAGAUAAAGCUAAUUAUAUUUAAAUAUAUUUAAUUAUGUUACUAAUUAUUUUUUUAUUCAGUUAAUAUAUCUAAAAUAUGAUAAAAAUUGAUUAGUUAAGUUUUAAUAUUUUUUUUUUUUAGUUUGUACAUUUAAAAUAUGAUAAAAAUUGAUUGUAAUUAUUAAUAUUUUUUUACUUUAUAAUUUUAUUAUUGUAUUACUAUUAUUUAUGUAGAAAAAAAUAAUUUAGUUGUUUUAAAUUAAAUUUUAAUUAUAUUGUAGUGUUUCUAAGCUUUGGAUAGAAUUGACUUCAGUAUUAGUGACUGGUCCACACAUCUGGAGAGUGUCGGACUAAGUCGGAGUCGUUUCUAGCGAAAUGGAUGCAGAAAUGGACUCGGCGCACUCAAAUAAGCAAAACUGGAGUUUUGCCAGAUUCGAGCGCCCAGAACUGGCUUUGGGUCACCCAGAAGUUGAGUGUAGAACUGAGCAGAACUGGAAAUCAAUUCGGAUCCAUGUUUCGGGCGCCCGGAUGUGGGUCCGAAAAGUUCACCUCGUGAGUAUCGUUGCGCUGACACGUGGUUGGUAGGAGGUGAGGUCCGCCGGAGCCGGAUACGGGCGCAGCACACCGCGGGUGGAGGAGCCGAGGGGGGUUUUUGUGCAGCCAGGAGGAUUCGGACGCCCAGAAUCAGGUUUUGGGCGCCCGAAAGUGGAGAUUUCUGCAGGAGUACUAGCUUUGCAGCAAUUGUUCCUGAGGCUUUUUGGACCGCCUCAACACCCUAUAAAUAGAUAGAGUGCGCCCCCUUGCUGCUCUUUUCCUCCCUUCUUCACAGAGAAGACCACUUUAGCAUUCCAACCCCUCCAAAUCACUCAAUUUGUAUCAAAGGUCCACAAAUUCAGCUUGAGGAGUGCUGAUUCUGCAGUUUUCCAGCGACGACCUUCGGUGUUUUGGCUCGUGUGCGACGUAGGAAGGUCAGAUUGGGGUGAAACUUGGUUUGCUGGAUUCUAGACUUCCAGAGGAAUCCAUGAAACCCAGAAUUUCAGAUUUUGGUUGAGGUUAGCUUGGUCGAUUCUAUGUUUUUCUGGACUAUUGGUGACUUUGAGCUGAAAAUCUGAUUUUUGGGUUUUUCUUGGUGCUAUCUUUGGAGGCAGGGUGUUUUUGGACCUGAGACACUUACUCCAUCCUACUCCACUAGAUUUGAGACCCUCCUCACCAAAUUUGGAUGUGAUUAGGUGAGUUUUGACAUUGGAGUUUGGUUAAUUAAGCUUAAGUGCUGAAAUUAGCAUUGUCAUUGAUGCAACUUGGUUAUCUUGGGUUCAAAUCUUGGGAGAAGGGUAGUCUUGAACCUGGAAAACUUUCUACAUCCAAUUCACUGCUGAGGGAAUCUUGCUACUGCUGAUUUGAAGGUAAUCUAGUGAAAUUAGCAUUGUAUUUGAGCUAAUUCAAGCGUAAGUGCUGAAUUAUUGGAUUUUUAUGGAUUUCGACGCUAGAUCCCUUAAGUAGUCCAGUUGCUGAUUUGGUGUGAUUUCGGCUGAGUCUCCCAGCAGUUUUGUGACCUCCUUGCUGCCAGGAAAGAGCAUUUGAGGUGGGUUUAUCAUUGGUUUUGCUCCUAAGUAUAUGUAUAGUAAACAUGUAUAGUUUUGACUUCGGAAUAUCAUGUUGUAGCUCAAAUUCAUCGAUUGGUAUAAUGUAUGAAAUCUGAAUUUGGAGCAUGAAUAGUAAUUAGUUGAAUAUACAUGUUGGAUUUGGAACUUGACUUAAGAGAAAACCAGCAAUUCAAUCUGUCAUAUGAUUCUACUACCUGAUUUAGCUCUAGGAGUCGUGGUUUGAUUGUAUCAGUGCUGUUUCAGCGCGGUGGAUACCCGGAAUAGUUUAGAAUGCAUUUACGCUCGUGCUGGGACGCCAAGCUUAUUUUUACAGUAGAGUUUAGGCUGUUUCGAGUUGUCGGGUGCCGUCGGGGUGGAUGGUGGACCCAGAUUGAUGUUUUUGGUAUCAGAUUGUGCCGAGGGCACGUGGGUUUGGUUUCUAGACCUGUUUUGACCCUAGCUACUUGACUUUGGCUUGUUAGAGUCUGAUUGUGCUCGACAGAGAUACGCUUGCAUACUCAAUUGGGUAGCGCCCAUGAGUGCCACUCCGGAGUCGGGCUUAGUGCGUUUGCGUUGGUGUCGUUCGUGCAGGUUGGACUUGCUCUCCAUGCACUGGUUAGUGUGGAGGUAGCUGUAUAGUCGCGACCGAGCGGGAUGGGUGUGUUCACAGUCCCAGGGACGAGUAUGACUACAGUCCUUAUUUGAGAUUGGGUCUUAGUUGACACUGUUCUACAGAUGGUUAGAUUUAGAGCAUGAUAGUAUAGUGGCAUAUAGCUGUAGAUUUGUUUCAACUUUCUUUAUUAUUCCUGCUGAUCCCUGUAGACUUAGUGGGUGGACCGAUGAGUUGAGGGCGGUACCCACUGAGGACUACUUGUUUUUAUAGUAGUUCUCACGCCCAGUUGUUACUACUGUUUUGCAGAGCCGUUGCAUUCGGCUGCUGCUGUUGUUGCUGAUCUUAAUCGUGGCAAGGGCGUCGCGAAUUAGAGCCAUUCCAGUCGAGUUGCAGAGCUAAAGGAGCACAAGCUACAGAUAAUUGUAGUUUUUGGAUCUUUACAUACAGUUGUUAUAUCUCGCCAGAGCGAGUGUUUGUAUACCUGUAUGACAUGUAUGUAUUGAACCACAGUUUACAUAUUUAGUUUAUUUUUUCUUGCUGCUCUAUACUACUGUUCGUAGUAUUGUAUGAUUACAGGUAUUUCUACUUUUUUGCUUCGUAUACAGGAAAAAUAUCUAUGUAUACGGCGGGUCUGUUAGCGAGCCCGGGAAAACGAGUAAUUCGGGACGUGACAUAUAUAAAAAUAUGUUUAUUAAAAUAUUUAUUAUUUAUAUAUAAAUUAUAGUUUUAUAUUAUAUACUUCCUACUAAACAAAUUAAUAUCAGAACUGAUCGAACUUCACUUUCAUAACUACGAAACAAAUAGUGAAAAAAAAGUAAUUUUUACCAAACUCCAGUUCAACCCAAAGUCCACUUCAACCUAAAGUCCAAUUUCGGUGAAACAAACAUGUCGUGCAUUUGCUUUCAUAGUAAUGUCACUAUGCAAAAAACUAUUUGGCUGCGCGAAAAAUCCUGAGAAACUAUUUUUUGAUAAAAUAAUUUAUCGUGAAAAAUAUUUAUUUCGUAGUUCUUGUUUUUCAGUCAACAUUUUAGAAACUAAAAUGAGAUUUUUCUAUAAAUUUUGAAUAAUAAUUUUUUUCAAAGACCACUUCUUCAGAAAAUCAAAUAGACAAAUUAAAAUUACUUUGUUAAGUGAGACUUUUUUGGGAAAGCUAAACCCCGCUUAAUAAAAAGUUAUUCAAUAGGGACAAUUGUGUAUUGAUUGAUAUUAACCUAAUCUGCACAAAAAAUAAAAGCCAAGAAAUCAUACCUUACAUCUAUCAAUCCACAAGUCGUUUUAAGAUUUUUCCUUGUUUCAUGUUGUUGUUACAUUUUAUUAAUUAAACUAUUGAUUUUUUACUUAAGCUGUCAUGGUGAUGUUACAUGUGAAUUAACUAUUCAUUUAACCUAUGCUUUUUAAACUUAAAGCUAAAGGGUUGUGUUGGGAGCCGAAUUUUUCUGUCCUCGGGAUACGCGUCGGGAUGAUGAGCGGCUGUGAAUGAUGACCCUCGAAGUCUGCGCCCUUUGAUCUAUCAAGCGAUUCGGUCGAUGAGGGAUCCAAUCAACUGGGUCCGUAAACUCUAUUCUCUCUUCUGUUCGGCCAGAUGAACCGAAUGCACAGGAGAAGCCAGAAUUUUGACCAAGAAAUGAGCCAAAUGGUUAAUACAGCACAGGAACUUGUUGACCUGAAGAGUCGAACACUGCCUUUUAUUGAAGUUGAACGGAGAAAGUACUGAAAAAAGGGGUUUAGUCUACAGCGGAGUGAUGCCCAAAGGGUAGACGACUCCAGGAUGCUAAGUUACAGGAACUACUCCUAGGAAAAGCGGUAAAUGUAGGAAAGAAGGAUGCAGAAAAAUAAGAGUAGUCUUUUGUUCGCAGGGGCGAAGACCUAUUUUCAGGGUAUCAUCGACAUAUUUAUCCUAUCGCCCCUGAUACAGUUAUUGCACGAUCAGCCACUAUUUCCUAGUAUUUCGGACCCAUUUUGGCCGAUCAAAAUCGCCGACAACUGCACGCAAUUGUUAUAACUCCCUGCUGGCGUGGCCGGUCAUAUUUUUCUUCAUACUUCCGACUCACAUCAAGACUGUGACUACUACCUAGGCCCGGUGUGCCAACUGUCCGCGUAAGAUCGGCUCUACAGGUUGCAACAUAUGUAUUUAACUCCUUUUAUGCUCUAUUAAAUGAAAACUAACCUACGCCUUUAUAUACUUGUAACUCCUUUGCUUUGAGCCUAUAUAUAAAGGCUUCUCUAUUCACUUGUACACAACUCAACAAACAAUAAAAUUAUUUUAAUUAUUCUUGAGAGAGAGAAGGUCAAAAAAAGGUGUCUGAUGGAGCUUUGGGCUCAUCUACUUGUGCAGAGUUAGUGAAGCUACACGACAAGGAUCGAGCCGUUGUAUCCUGGAGGGGACAAGUCAGUGCUCUGCUGCAUCGAUUCAAAGGCUUUGCCAACCGUAGAGGGCUUGAAUCUCCUUAAAGAGAGCGAGAUAUUCGUGCCUUAGCUUGAUCAACUCGUUAACACUUUUUAAAUUAUUUUGUAACUAACCUCUAUUUUUUGAAUAUUUACACCAACACAUGUAUUACCAGCUUGAAAUACUAGUGGCAAUGAUAAAUCAAAUUAAGUAACAAUAAAAUAGCAGCCACACAUAUAGCAAUCACAUUUUUUUUCUUAAAAAGCUUUCAUUGAAGUAGCUUGAUGAGACAUAAUACAUCCCGUAUCUAAAUUUUAAAUAUCUACUAGUUAAGGAACCCGUGCUACGCAACGAGUUUAUUUAUCUUCUUUAUAAAUAAUUAAUAAAUAAUUAAAUAUAUUUUUUAUGAAGUAAUAAUAAUAUAUUUUAGUUAAUUAAAUAAAGAAGUUUAAAAAUAUUUUCACAUGCGAUCAAUUAUAUCAGAUAUGCAAGUUUUGAUUACAAACAAUAAUGCUGAUCUUAACACUCGUUCGGUGUAAAUUCAUAAGUUUAUAUUUUAAUUAUAAUAAAAUUUUAAAAUAUAUAAUUAUUUAUGCCUAAUUUUUAAAUAUUUUAGAUUGUAGGUAUUAAAUAUUAUUUUUAAUUUUAUAAUUAUUUAGAUAUAAAUAAUCUAUUUUUAUAAAAAACACUACAAUUAAUUUUUUUUAAAAUAUAUUUAAUUACAACAAUUACAUAAAAUAUACUAACUAAAUAUAUAUAGUUAAACAACACAUUCAAAAAUCAUUAAUAAUAAAUUAAAAUUAAAAUUUUAAAUUAAAAUUAAAUUUUAUUUUUUUGUAUGUGGCCAAUAACAAUCUAAAAGAAGUAGAGUUAGAAACGUAAACAAACAGGGUAUUUUUCGUAACGCAAUCUCUCCGCAAUCCGAAACGAAGCCUUAAUGUUAUUAAUUAUUAGCUAAUUUAUUCCCACUUUUAUUAUCAUUAAAAAAUAAAUUGUAUUUUAAAAUUAAUUAUAAGAGGCAAAAAAAUUUCAAAAAAUUCCAACAAAAUCCUAAGUUGGCGAGUAGGCCCCACAGGAAAAAGGAAAAGCGCAAAAAAAAAAGAAAAAACGCCGCGCGGACUCGCGGCCGCGCCGGCNUCGAGAUGCUGAUGUAAAAGGAUUUGAUUAAACAUUUAGUAUAAUUCACCAAAACAGAGUAAUUCAUGAGUACAAUGAUAAUUAUGAUUACUAAAGAAAAUUGACAAAAAUUUGUCACAUCAUUUAUGAUGAUAAAUUAUACAAAGGGAAAACUUCAAAAACCCCCUUGUAGUUUUGUAGUUUAUCAAUUUGCCCCCCUGUGGUUUCUUCUUUCUCUUUUUCUUAUCAAUUUUAUUAUUUUAUUUUUCUUAAAUCAGUGAUAAAGUUAAAAUUAAAGGGUACUAAAAUGAAUAUUUGAUAAAUUUAGAUGGGUAUCUAAAGUUUUUUGUAUAUAAUUUAAUGAAAUAUUAACAAAAAAGCUACCAAAAAGAUAAAAACGAAACCACAGGGGGACAAUUUGAUAUAUUUUAAACCACAGGGGGGCAAAGUGAGAAACUAGGAAACCACAGGAGGGAUUUUUGAAGUUUUCCCAUAAAUAAAUAGUUACGUAAAAUAUAUCAACUAAAUCUGUAAAUAUAAACGACGAAUUCAAAUGAAGUUAAAAAAUCGCUAAUUUGCAAGUAAAUAAAUUAGAAGGGUGGACAAUAAAAUUAAGUUUUAAUACUAUUAGCCCUUGUUUGGUUGGGGUUUAAGGAGUAGAAUAACCCCUUAACCCCCAUUUUAUCCGUUAGCUAAUCCCACCUCAAAUAAAUUAUUUCGGGUUAGCUAACCCCACCUAACCCCACCAAACUCCAACCAAACACUAUUUUCUAUUCAUAAUAACUCACUAUCUUUCUUAUUACGCCUACUCCAACCAAUCAUUAUCCUUCUUUAUCAAUUAUUAUCUUCUUAUCCCACAUACUUCAACAAAACACUAUUUUUUAUUAUUCUAGACUAACUCCAACCCCCAGCCAAACACAAAAAAAUUUUAACCCCACUUUAACCCCGAACUUAACUCUAUCCCUGGAACAACUAUUUUUCCCUUAACCCCGAACCAUACGGAGGCUUAGAAUUUACUAAGAUCUUUUUUGCAUUAAAAAAUUACCCACUUUGCGUUUUGUAAAAAUCAGACCAUUUUUACUUCUACUUUUUUAAUUAACGAGAAUAAAAAUAUUACACUUUUUAAAUAUAUAUUACACUAUUUAAUAAAUGCAAUAGAACAUACAUUUGAUUAUAUAUUGUACUAUUUUAUAGUAUAUUAUAUUAUUUUUAUAAUUUAUUGCACUAAUGGAGAAAGAAUAAAAAUUAAAAAAAAGAAGAAGAAGAAGAAGAAGAGAGACAUUGACGUUUCCUUUCUCUUUUUUCUAGAGAUGUCAACGGGUCGGAUUCGGGACGAAUUUUCAAGAACCCGAAUCCGAACCCGACUCCAAACCCGAGAUCCGAAUUCGAAUCUAAAUCCGACGGAUUUUAAAAAUCUAUAUCCAAAUCCGAACCCGACUAAAAAUUCGAAAACGCCGAACCCGAACCGAACUCGAAAAUUUGAACACCGAAAUAAUAUUUUUUUUUCAAUAUUCAAAAUAUAUGAUAUUAAAUCUAAAUUUUAAAAUCAAAUUCAAAAUAACAUCAAAUUUAUAUAUAUAUAUAAUAUAUAUAUAUAUAUAUAUAUAUAUAUAUAUAUUAAUAUAUAUAUAUAUAAAUAAGCAAAAUAAAUUCGGCUUCGGGUCGGAUUUAGGUUCGGAUAGGAUACAGUCAAAAUCCAUAUUUGAAUUCAUAUCUGUCGGAUUUCUAUUUUUAAUAUUCAUACCCAAAUCCAUAUCUAUUUAGCAUCGGAUAUAUCUGUUUCAUUCGGGUUCGGAUUCGAAUAAAAUUUCGGGUAUCCAUACCUAUUGGCAUCCCUACUUUCUUCUCCUUCCUCUCCCUCCGUCCGCCAACUCCGGCACCUUGCCGCCUGCUAUCUCAAACUGCACCGCUACCCACGCCCUUAUCUCUGCAAUCCGUG
Molecule: long non-coding RNA, 23351 nt
Filed under: Ananas comosus (pineapple)
Lineage: Eukaryota; Viridiplantae; Streptophyta; Magnoliopsida; Poales; Bromeliaceae
Description: long non-coding RNA (ACOM_LNC018373)
Source: RNAcentral